RNAcentral lists this ribosomal RNA (497 nucleotides) under uncultured bacterium. RNAcentral's name for it is "partial 16S ribosomal RNA". It matches the Rfam family "Bacterial small subunit ribosomal RNA", at positions 28 to 507 of the family's 1533-position model. The record is from RNAcentral.
GAUGAACGCUGGCGGCGUGCCUAAUACAUGCAAGUCGAGCGAACAGACGAGGAGCUUGCUCCUCUGACGUUAGCGGCGGACGGGUGAGUAACACGUGGAUAACCUACCUAUAAGACUGGGAUAACUUCGGGAAACCGGAGCUAAUACCGGAUAAUAUAUUGAACAGCAUGAUUCAAUAGUGAAAGACGGUUUUGCUGUCACUUAUAGAUGGAUCCGCGCCGCAUUAGCUAGUUGGUAAGGUAACGGCUUACCAAGGCAACGAUGCGUAGCCGACCUGAGAGGGUGAUCGGCCACACUGGAACUGAGACACGGUCCAGACUCCUACGGGAGGCAGCAGUAGGGAAUCUUCCGCAAUGGGCGAAAGCCUGACGGAGCAACGCCGCGUGAGUGAUGAAGGUCUUCGGAUCGUAAAACUCUGUUAUUAGGGAAGAACAAAUGUGUAAGUAACUAUGCACGUCUUGACGGUACCUAAUCAGAAAGCCACGGCUAACUACGUG